RNAcentral lists this ribosomal RNA (505 nucleotides) under uncultured Microbacteriaceae bacterium. Its description in RNAcentral is "bacterial SSU rRNA". It matches the Rfam family "Bacterial small subunit ribosomal RNA", at positions 8 to 524 of the family's 1533-position model. The record is from RNAcentral. Lineage: Bacteria; Bacillati; Actinomycetota; Actinomycetes; Micrococcales; Microbacteriaceae.
AGAGUUUGAUCCUGKCUCAGGACGAACGCUGGCGGCGUGCUUAACACAUGCAAGUCGAAYGAUGAAAGAGGAGCUUGCUCYUCUGGAUUAGYGGCGAACGGGUGAGUAACACGUGAGCAAUCUGCCCCUGACUCCGGAAUAACUACGGGAAACUGUAGCUAAUACCGGAUAUGCGCCGAMCAGGCAUCUGUAUCGGUGGGAAAGAAUUUCGGUCAGGGAUGAGCUCGCGSCCUAUCAGCUUGUUGGUGAGGUAACGGCUCACCAAGGCGACGACGGGUAGCCGSCCUGAGAGGGUGACCGGCCACAUUGGGACUGAGACACGGCCCAGACUCCUACGGGAGGCASCAGUGGGGAAUAUUGCMCAAUGGGCGCAAGCCUGAUGCAGCAACGCCGCGUGAGGGAUGACGGCCUUCGGGUUGUAAACCUCUUUUAGCAGGGAAGAAGCGAAAGUGACGGUACCUGCAGAAAAAGCGCCGGCUAACUACGUGCCAGCAGCCGCGGUAAU